RNAcentral lists this long non-coding RNA (246 nucleotides) under Elaeis guineensis (African oil palm). RNAcentral's name for it is "long non-coding RNA (EGUI_LNC055619)". The record is from RNAcentral. Lineage: Eukaryota; Viridiplantae; Streptophyta; Magnoliopsida; Arecales; Arecaceae.
GAAUUCGGGCGAAGCCUCCCUGUAGUCGAAGUUGGAGAUGAAGUCCGGCUCCCGUAGGGGUCCGGACGAAGUCUUCCUGCUGCUGAAUUUGGAGAUGGAGUCUGGCUCCCGUAGGAGUCCAGGCGAAGCCUCCCUGUAGUCGAAGUAGGAGAUGAAGUCCGGCUCCCGUAGGAGUCCGGAUGAAGCCUUCCUGUAGUCGAAGUUGGAGAUGAAGUCCGGCUCCCGUAGGAGUCCGGAUGAAGUCUU